CCACUCCUACGGGAGGCAGCAGUGGGGGAUAUUGCACAAUGGGGGAAACCCUGAUGCAGCGACGCCGCGUGUGGAAAGACGGUCCUCUGGAUUGUAAACCACUGUCCCCAGGGACGAAGAUGACGGUACCUAGGGAGGAAGCUCCGGCUAACUACGUGCCAGCAGCCGCGGUAAUACGUAGGGAGCGAGCGUUGUCCGGAAUUACUGGGUGUAAGGGGAGCGUAGGCGGGACUGCAAG
RNAcentral lists this ribosomal RNA (238 nucleotides) under uncultured bacterium. RNAcentral's name for it is "partial 16S ribosomal RNA". It matches the Rfam family "Bacterial small subunit ribosomal RNA", at positions 333 to 587 of the family's 1533-position model. The record is from RNAcentral.